Molecule: ribosomal RNA, 253 nt
Filed under: uncultured bacterium
Lineage: Bacteria
Description: partial 16S ribosomal RNA
Rfam family: Bacterial small subunit ribosomal RNA
Source: RNAcentral
UACGGAGGGGGCGAGCGUUAUUCGGAAUUAUUGGGCGUAAAGGGCGCGUAGGCGGCUUCAUAAGUCAAAGGUGAAAUCCCUCGGCUCAACUGAGGAACUGCCUUUGAAACUGUGGAGCUUGAGGCCGGGAGAGGGUAGCGGAAUUCCCAGUGUAGCGGUGAGAUGCGUAGAUAUUGGGAGGAACACCAGUGGCGAAGGCGGCUACCUGGACCGGUUCUGACGCUGAGGCGCGAAAGCGUGGGUAGCAAACAGG